GCACAUUCACUCAUAUAUGCUACUUCUACUCCGGAAGUACCACCCACAUAUAUCCACUCAUUUCCAUCUCCAGAACCACCCAAAAAUAUUCUACUCCUAAUCCGGGAGAGAAUAAACAAAAAUAUUUCUGUUUUUCCUUGUGAAAUAAAUGCUCAAGUUAUCUUGUUACUACCACUUGCUAUAUUAUCUCAUGAGAUGAGUGCUCUAAAAAAAGAGGAGAGAAAAAAUAUACGAGGAAAUAAAAAGGGGCAAGUGCCCGGAACCUCGAAAGAAAAGAAAAAGAGUGAGACGAGAGGUAAAAAUGGACAAGUGUCCGACAGUAGAAUUAAGGGUACAGGAUACCCACCGGAGAGGAAAGAAAAAUGAAAGAUAGAGCAUCUCAUUCUCCUCAUAAAGUUUUAAAAAGCAAGUAAGGUAUGUAUCCCCUCAAAAGAGCAAAAGUAGAAUUAGACUUCCACCAUUGUUGUCACCAUCAUCACCAUACACCAUUCAUUCGCCACACAUGCACAUCUUGAUUUGACUUAUUGACUUGUUUCUCUGGAUCCAUGGUUUGACUAUGCAAUAAAUAUCUUGUAAGUAUGUAUUAGCUGUCUCCCACCUAUGAGCUCCAGAUAUUAAAGCCUUAUUAGAGUAGGGUGAGAGAGAAGGCAAUAUCACUAUGCCUUAUACCACAAAUACCACAUAUCUUGAGAGAAGGCAUAUACCAUCACUGCCUUGGUAAGGAUCCAGAAAUACCACAAAAGAGAGAUUUAGAGAGUCAUACAAGGAAUCUCUGAGUUUUAUUUGAAAAUCUGCAAAAACUCC
RNAcentral lists this long non-coding RNA (804 nucleotides) under Sorghum bicolor (sorghum). Its description in RNAcentral is "long non-coding RNA (SBIC_LNC014213)". The record is from RNAcentral. Lineage: Eukaryota; Viridiplantae; Streptophyta; Magnoliopsida; Poales; Poaceae.